This 474-nucleotide ribosomal RNA is filed under the name Bacillus licheniformis. RNAcentral describes it as "partial 23S ribosomal RNA". It matches the Rfam family "Bacterial large subunit ribosomal RNA", at positions 1268 to 1734 of the family's 2925-position model. Lineage: Bacteria; Bacillati; Bacillota; Bacilli; Caryophanales; Bacillaceae. The record is from RNAcentral.
GACAUGUGGAUUGUAUACAAGAGAGAAUGCUGGCAUGAGUAGCGAGAGGUGAGUGAGAAUCUCACCCGUCGAAAACCUAAGGAUUCCUGAGGAAGGCUCGUCCUCUCAGGGUAAGUCGGGACCUAAGCCAAGGCUGAAAAGCGUAGGUGAUGGACAACAGGUAGAAAUUCCUGUACCGGCUCGGAGCGUUUGAGAAAUGGAGUGACGCAGAAGGAUAACGGAACCGUAUGAUUGGUAGAAUACGGCUAAGCGUGUAGGUGGAAGAAGGAGGCAAAUCCCUUUCUUUGUUAACACUGAGGCGUGAUGGGGAUCGAAAUAUACAAGUAGAGAAGUCCGUGAAUCCAAGCUGCCGAGAAAAGCCUCUAUCGAGCAAAGAGUCGCCCGUACCGCAAACCGACACAGGUAGGUGAGGAGAGAAUCCUAAGACGAGCGGAAGAACUAUUGUCAAGGAACUCGGCAAAAUAGCCCCGUAAC